This is a long non-coding RNA of Haliotis rubra (blacklip abalone), 1195 nucleotides long. RefSeq lists it as uncharacterized. Lineage: Eukaryota; Metazoa; Mollusca; Gastropoda; Lepetellida; Haliotidae. The transcript is spliced from 4 exons. The record is from RefSeq and is a predicted model, not a curated record.
AUAAAUUGCUACGAGAUUUGGGGCAAUCUAUUUAUAUAUAACUUAUCAACUGUAAACUUAAGCACUGUGCUUACAUUGGGGAUAUUGUAGUCUGACUUUUCUUUGAGUCCUUCAUACAAUUUUUCAACGUACUAAUUUUAAAUGUCACCAGGUUUAUGGCAGCAAUGCCAUACAGGCAAGUUCAGACAACUGGUAGAUACAUGUAUUAUGUUUGGACUCUCCACAAAUUGUUCAGUUUGAGAUUAUUUUAAACUGAUUAGUGUAUCUAUACCGGAAUUUAUAACAGCUGAAAUAAAAACAAAUCCUAGUUGCGAUUGUUAAACCGUUUUUAAAAAAAUACGUUUGGAAAUAUAAGGUGAACAGCUGGUAAUAAUUACACUAGAAUGUGUUUCAUCAAAUCAUCACGGUUAUUAUAAUUGUUUAAAACAUAUUAACAUAUUUUAAAAACAUCAUAAACUUUCGAGUCCUUCAGCAAUGUUUAUUUCUAUUGGAAUUAAACAGAAAUAGAGUUGUUGUUCUUGUCUGAAUUAGUUCUGAUGUUCAUAUAUUCAACAUGGAAUCCUUCCAGGGGGGGCACGAGUCGGUAUUCGACUUGUCCCGGAAUAAGACGAGUGGAUCACGAAUGUCAGACGGUUAUCUUGUUUAUGAUGUCAUGACAAGCUUGCAUGGGAUCCGGUGUGUCUUACCUUAGAUUGAUGCAUGACAAAAUGGUCGAUGUAUUUGGGGCAAAACCUGUCCAUAUUGGUUGAAAUGGAAACUGAAUCUGUUGCCAACAUUAUUAAGUAACGAAUAGAAACUUAGCAUCAAUGACUUGGCUGUAUCUGUCUAAUCCAGUAUCUUCCAGAUGAAUAGAGAGUUUUACUUCAAGCGGUGCCAUAGAUCUUUCUCCUGCUUACCAGCAACGAAGCUCAAAUUUACAAAGGUCGUUUACUACAGUACGGUUCGUUUACAUCGUAUCCGCCAUGGCCAACCAUAUUCCUGUGGCAUUUGAAGGAUAUAUAAAUAUAUAUUGAAAGUUUUUUUACAUUUAGCCACAGGGUAUUUCGAAAAAAUAUGCAUGUUUGCUGAUGAACGAUGAACGAAUUUUAGCAGAUACGACAGCAUAACAGCAGCUCGUGAUACGUCGACGAGGAGUUCCACUUCAGGUGACGAAACGACAACACCCACGCCCACUCCGGCAGAUAACGUGAGCACG